Long non-coding RNA from Photinus pyralis (common eastern firefly), 650 nucleotides. RefSeq lists it as uncharacterized. The transcript has 3 exons. NCBI's taxonomy places the organism in Eukaryota, Metazoa, Arthropoda, Insecta, Coleoptera, Lampyridae. The record is from RefSeq and is a predicted model, not a curated record.
UAUAUGGUCUAAGGUUGCGGUACAAUGGGCAAUGGCGGCGAUCUCAGGUGUCGAGAUGUCGGAGCUGUUCGCUUCGGCUCAGCGGUACUCUAAGUUGGCCGGUAGCUGUAAGUUUAUCGAUUAGCGGGUUUUUAUCCGGGAGUUGGUGAAUGACACCAGCACUUCCGAAUACUCGGCCCGUCAGUGCGGUAUGGUACUUAUGCUAGAGGUGGUACACAGGAUGUGACACGGCCACGACCCCAGUACACCACGCUCUAGGUUGAAACAAAAUCAACGUUCGCAAACUGGGGGAAUGCAGGUCGAAGGCCCCACAGUUCCCAGUUUCCGUACGUUGACUCGCUUCGUAUCUAAGGUACUGGUGAUAGUAUGGUAACGAAAAGCAAGAUGUGACACGGCCACUACCUCCGCUUAACGUUCACAACCUUACGACUAAAUCAAGCAAGCGGGAGUUGGCUACAUGCGGGUCACAGGCCCCACAGGUAUCGAACUUCCGGGUGUUUGAGGGUUCGUCUUUCAAGGACUGGAUGAUUUCUAAUGAAUGGCGAGGUUAAGGGUGCAGGGACAGGUGGGUUAAGGAUAUAAGCGGAACGGAAACGGUCUGGAUUCAGGUUUUCGGUCAUCAAAUGACAGGAUAGAAGUGUCUUCUAAAA